RNAcentral lists this transfer RNA (44 nucleotides) under Tetrastigma xishuangbannaense. Its description in RNAcentral is "partial tRNA-His". The record is from RNAcentral. Lineage: Eukaryota; Viridiplantae; Streptophyta; Magnoliopsida; Vitales; Vitaceae.
GGCGGAUGUGGCCAAGUGGAUCAAGGCAGUGGAUUUGUGAACCC